RNAcentral lists this ribosomal RNA (429 nucleotides) under bacterium. RNAcentral's name for it is "partial 16S ribosomal RNA". It matches the Rfam family "Bacterial small subunit ribosomal RNA", at positions 355 to 776 of the family's 1533-position model. The record is from RNAcentral.
UAGGGAAUCUUCCACAAUGGACGCAAGUCUGAUGGAGCAACGCCGCGUGAGUGAAGAAGGUUAUCGGAUCGUAAAGCUCUGUUGUUGGUGAAGAAGGAUAGAGGUAGUAACUGGCCUUUAUUUGACGGUAAUCAACCAGAAAGUCACGGCUAACUACGUGCCAGCAGCCGCGGUAAUACGUAGGUGGCAAGCGUUGUCCGGAUUUAUUGGGCGUAAAGCGAGCGCAGGCGGAAGAAUAAGUCUGAUGUGAAAGCCCUCGGCUUAACCGAGGAACUGCAUCGGAAACUGUUUUUCUUGAGUGCAGAAGAGGAGAGUGGAAUUCCAUGUGUAGCGGUGGAAUGCGUAGAUAUAUGGAAGAACACCAGUGGCGAAGGCGACUCUCUGGUCUGCAACUGACGCUGAGGCUCGAAAGCAUGGGUAGCGAACAGG